This 75-nucleotide transfer RNA is filed under the name Lacunisphaera sp. RNAcentral describes it as "tRNA-Glu". It matches the Rfam family "tRNA". From Rfam's summary of the family: Transfer RNA (tRNA) molecules are approximately 80 nucleotides in length. Their secondary structure includes four short double-helical elements and three loops (D, anti-codon, and T loops). The record is from RNAcentral. Lineage: Bacteria; Pseudomonadati; Verrucomicrobiota; Opitutia; Opitutales; Opitutaceae.
CGCUUCGUCCUCUAGCCAGCAGGAGACCCGUCUCUCAAGCGGGCAACACGGGUGCAAAUCCCGUCGGAGCGACCA